GUUUACUGGAAAAAAAAUACAAUGAAUCACUUUCUUUGCUGUUCAAGAUUAUUGGUGCGAGAAGACUUCUACCGUUUUCUUAGUGAGUGUCACAGUUCGUACGUCUCAUACAGCAUCAUUUACCAGGAUUUAGCAUCCAUAGUUUAAAUGCAUAUUUCCAUACUCUACACAUUUGUAACAAUGGCCUACAUUACAAUCCAGGGUCAGUAACAGAUCGUUUUUUGAAAGGCAGGGUAGCAUUGUGCAACAGUUAUUAUAGUGAUCACUAUACAUAUUUCACAAGCCUUGUUUCUGCCGGCAAUCACACUGAAGUCAGAAAACAUUGAGAUUUACAUGUGGAUUGCGGAUACUAAUAGGUGACAAAUGUGUCCUUAAAUGUUACAUUCCAUAUGGAAUUUCGAGAUAUCGUAAAAAAUAUUCACAUACACUGUAAACAAAUAUUUCAGGCACAAUGUACAUGUGUAAAUGUAACAUUGCCUGUACGGGCCAUCAAAUGAGAGGAGGUGUUUGCAGUGUUCGUUCUGUUCACGUACAAACACUAACAAAAGUAUUUACUAAAGUGAGAAUUUAAAGUGUAUUCAAUAUACAAGUCCGGAGUAGUCUUAAUCACAGCAUACCUGACUUUGCAAAUUUCUUCCAUUUUGGCUAUUUUGAUCUUAAAUUUGAAAAUCACUUUUCUCAUUUUAGUGAAUAACCCUGUUUGAAAUAAAUAUUUGGGAGUACUGGUUAUUUGCAGACAUGUACCACACCAAGGCAGAAUAUAUAUGUUUAAACCCUCACUUGAAGUGAAUUGUUUUGUUUUUUUUGUGUGUAUAUCACUCUGUAUUGCCCCAAUAUCCUUUUGUUAGGCAAAUUACACACACUCACACGCAUUCAUAUACACAUACUCACACACAUUCAUAUGCACACAUCGCAUUAUCCCUGGUGUCCAGUGGUUUUCUGCUGGGAUCUGUGCUCCAGCAAAAAAGGGAGUGAUCCGCACUCAUCACCUGUAGACCUCAGUGCACUGUUGCUUGAUAAAGAUCCCUAAAGGGAUCAAAACAUUGCUGUAUCUGUCCUGUUUUUCCCCAAUAAAUCUGCUGAUGUAUGAAGACCUUGAGUGCCUGGACUACUUUGCUACAGGGAUCCCAGUUAGAAUGCCACAUUUUGGAACAAUUGUGAUCACAUAAACUCAAGUGUUUAACCUGAUGUAUAUCAAACAUUUUCACCAAUCCAAUAAUAGUAUAGUAUGGGAAGGGUAAAAACAUUUUCAGUUGUAUGUGGAUUCAGAAUACACAUGGCUUCCAAAGAAUACAAGAACAAAUGAAAUGGGUUAUACAGGACAUUUACUCACAGAACCUUACUUAUUAUUAUUCAUAGGGUCUUAUACCUUAUCAUUCCUUCAGUUAAAUCAAAAGAAUACAGGAAAGAAUUAAUUGUGCUAUACUUACAGUAUAUAACUUAUUAAAAGGGUCUCACGUCAUUCUUCUGUUAAUCUGACAAC
Non-coding RNA from Pelobates cultripes (western spadefoot toad), 1483 nucleotides. The record is from the annotation of a GenBank genome assembly. Lineage: Eukaryota; Metazoa; Chordata; Amphibia; Anura; Pelobatidae.